UACGGGGGGGGUAAGCGUUGUUCGGAAUUACUGGGCGUAAAGGGCUCGUAGGCGGCCAACUAAGUCAUACGUGAAAUCCCUCAGCUUAACUGGGGAACUGCGUGUGAUACUGGAUGGCUUGGAUUUGGGAGAGGGAUGCGGAAUUCCAGGUGUAGCGGUGAAAUGCGUAGAUAUCUGGAGGAACACCGGUGGCGAAGGCGGCAUCCUGGACCAAUAUUGACGCUGAGGAGCGAAAGCCAGGGAGCAAACGGG
Molecule: ribosomal RNA, 252 nt
Filed under: uncultured bacterium
Lineage: Bacteria
Description: partial 16S ribosomal RNA
Rfam family: Bacterial small subunit ribosomal RNA
Source: RNAcentral